CACAAAUAAGCCUUUCUGCAGGGGAAAUAAACGGUUUAACCUGCAGGGCCAUAGUCCAAAGGGAGCAGGCGAGCAACCAGGCUUCUCCAGUUCACAGUGGCGAGGUUGGUUUCACCACAACCCAGUACUCACAAGCAACCAAGCCCUGCAGAAUCUUCUAAGCAGAGAGCUGGCCCCCAAAAACAGCAUUGAAUAACUACACCCUGUACUCACAAG
RNAcentral lists this long non-coding RNA (216 nucleotides) under Pelobates cultripes (western spadefoot toad). Lineage: Eukaryota; Metazoa; Chordata; Amphibia; Anura; Pelobatidae. The record is from RNAcentral.